Mugil cephalus (flathead mullet) is the source of this 436-nucleotide long non-coding RNA. RefSeq lists it as uncharacterized. The transcript has 3 exons. NCBI's taxonomy places the organism in Eukaryota, Metazoa, Chordata, Actinopteri, Mugiliformes, Mugilidae. The record is from RefSeq and is a predicted model, not a curated record.
CACCGAUUAUUACCGAGCGGGGCCGGUACCGACCGAGAGUCCACACGGUGGAAAAUGUCCAACGGUCGUCACGGCGGACGGUUUUAAAUGAUGCCGCUGUCAUGGCAACCGGUGCCGGUGCCGCCCUGACGAGUCUGCGACGAAUAAAUCCGUCAAAACAUUGCAGGUUACUGACAAUUAGAGAGCAACAGUCGUCUAAAAUCAGUCCAACCUGUUGAUGGUGGAGAGAAUUACCUUCUAUACCCUGGACAAUACACACAACCUGGCAUAUGAGGCUGCAGACAUUCAUCAAGUGGGCUGGCUGGAGAUGCUUUGACGGUGAUCUCUGCCACGGGAUCAGAUUCUCAGGCACGCAGAGAUCAAAUGGAUUUCUCUCCUCAAUAAUCAAAACCAGCGCGACAUCCUUGUUAGGUUGUUUUUGAUGGCCAAAUAAUUU